CCUCUCUUGGCGUAGUGGUUAACGCGCCCCAACUAGAGAUCGGGGAGUCGUGAGUUCGAUUCUCACUGAGAAGA
This is a non-coding RNA of Aedes aegypti (yellow fever mosquito), 74 nucleotides long. Lineage: Eukaryota; Metazoa; Arthropoda; Insecta; Diptera; Culicidae. The record is from Rfam.